Molecule: long non-coding RNA, 22369 nt
Organism: Meriones unguiculatus (Mongolian gerbil)
Lineage: Eukaryota; Metazoa; Chordata; Mammalia; Rodentia; Muridae
Exons: 3
Source: RefSeq, a predicted model, not a curated record
CGUGCCGUUCGAGCACACCUGAAGGCGGAGCCUAUUGUCACCCAAGCAGCGCGCUGAUCCACAUCUCGGAUUGGCCGCCUUGAGUGUGGCUUGAAAAGCGGCUUUUGGUUCAGCCAACAGUGCAGAGCGGACCAGUGGGAUUCUGUAAAAGCUAGAGUCCAAGCACUUCAGUGCUGUGGGGAAAUGAGGUUUGUUUAGGUAGUGUUCCUGUGUGUCUGGGUGUCUUAGUUUGUUUUUCUUUUUUGACAGGGUCUCGUAGGGCCGAGACUGCUCUGGAUUUUGUUGUUGAAGAUGGCCUUGAACUGAUCCUCCUGUCAGCGCUUCUGGAGAGCUGGGACUACAGGUAUGUGCAACCGGCCAGGUUUACCUCACUACAAUUCUUUAAGGUAGAUGCCAUAAUCCCUGGUCUAGAAAUGAAUCUGAGACUCAGAAAGGUUGAUCAGCCAUGCUGUCCCACUCUCCACUUUAUUCUUGGAAGAAAGCAUUGAAAGUUGAAAGAGAAGCCUCAACUAGAGAAGAAAAUCCGCUUUUCUUUCUUUUGUGUGGGUGGCAUUCUUGAAGUGGGAUUUGGAAAUGGGAAAUUUUAGCCUCCUACCCUGUUAGAUUGAAGCGGCUCUCCCCUAAUUACUUAGAGAGGAAAUUGUGCCUAGAGAUUGUCAGUGCUGGAAAGGCAGGGCAAAGCUGGAGACGAAGUCCUUAGGGGCUCCUACUAUGAGGUGUUCUUCUAUUAGAAAACAAAACAAAACAAAAAUACUUUUUUAUAUAUAUAGACAAAGCAUUCAUGAUGCCACUUUCCAAAGUAAACACGUUAUAUUUUAUAAUUUGGUUUUUAAAAUUAAUUAAAUUAUUUGUAUUUUAUGUAAAUUGGUGUUUUGACUGCAUGUAUGUCUGUGCAAAGGUGUUGGAUCCUCUGGAACAGGAAUUACAGUUUUGAGUGGGUGCUGGGAGCUGAACCUAGGUCCUCUGGAAGAGCAGCCAAUGCUCUUAACUGCUGAGCCAUCUUUCUAGUACCCCCAUAAUUUGGUAUUUUUACCAAAUUACAUUCAGAAAAGGUGAAUUCUUCCUGUUCUCAUCCCUCUUGGUUAUCUCCCUUCUACAAGGGUCACUAGGAAAUAGGUCUUACUAAGUUAGGCAAGACACUUAAACUGUUAUGUAUCAUAAAGACUAUACAUAAUGGUUUUGGGGAUUUUUAAAUGCUAUUGUGUUUUCUGAAUUGAUCUACAGCUUGGUUUCACCCAAUUUUCUUUUCACAUUGAUCAAUUAUCCACAUUGAUAGGCAUGGCUGCACAUUUCUUUUAACUAUAUGAUACCAUAAAUUGUUUGAAAUUCCUAUAUCCUCAUUACAGAAGCAAUGCUGAGGAAUACAAUCCUCUUAUUCUCAGGGUCUCUGAUAGUCAUAUUUGUAUUGGCAGACCUUACCAUGUUCUAUUCUAACUUUUUUCCCCAAAAAUAUUUGCUAACAGUUAAGAUCAAAAGAAAAAAAGAAUUGAAUCAUUGGCAAUCUGUGAAUAAAUGGGGAAAUCAAAUCUUUAUUGUACCUUGGCAGCAGUAGUUCAAGAUGAUCUAGUCCAGAAGUACUUAGUUUUUCUUUGCCUUUAGGACCCACCUGAGCCCUGUAGUGUUUGAGUUUACAACCUAUGAUAUAAUUUAGGAACACAGAAAAAUGCCCUUCUGAAUGUUUACAAGAAAAAACACUCAGGCCCAUCAUCCUAGCACAGAGAAGGUAGAAGCAGGAGGAGCCUCGGCAACAUGAAACUCUGUCUCCAAGUAAAUAAUAAAUGUCUUGCAUUGCAAGCAUUCUCGUUUUGAAUGCCUAUUCUGAGUUCCUUCGAUGACUUAAAGACUUAUCACAAGGUCUGUUGUCUCAGACGUUCUGUCACCUCCCAAUACAUCCCCGAAUGGAGGACCAAGCCUCCUUUAGCUGGGAGCUAGAGAACAUUAAAGUUCCAACCAUAUGUUUUCUUAUCUAGUAUUGUACUGAAAUAUCCCACAUAUCACUUAAUCCAGAGUGCAAAAAUAUCCAACCAGAGUUCAAUUUCCAUUAGUCUCCUGGUUGUUGUGACUUUCCUUAAUUUUUAUGUCUUUGAGAUGAGAUGAGAUGAGACCUCACCAUAUACACUCAAUAGCUUAGAACUUGCUAUGUUAACCAGACUGGUCUUUAACUUAUGGUAACCUCCUGCCUCUGCCUUUCAGAGUGCUGAGAUACAGGCACAAGAUACCAAGCCUGGCUUGCUUCUUCCUUCCUUUCUUCUUCUUCCUUUCCCUUCCUUCCUUCCUUCCUUCCUUCUUUCCUUCCUUCCUUCCUUCCUUCUUUCCUUCCUUCCUUCCUCCCUCCCUCCUUUCUCCCUUUCUUUUUUCAACAGUCUUUCUGUGAAAUAUUCAUGUGAUAACUGCAUCUGGAAGUUUAUCUUAUAUCCAUUUUUCAGGUACAAAUGGUCAAUGUCCUUCCACCUGGGAAGUUUAUGCUCUUAGGCCACCAGAGUGGUGAUUUCUUCAUUGUUGCCUUGAUUGUGUUUAGAGUUGGAAACACUUGGCCUCUAGGCUUGUCUGUGGGGGCAUUUUGAGAGAAGUCGACUGAGGGAAGACUUAACUCUGAAUGAAGACUUUGGACUCCAGUUCUGAACUGAAUAAAAAGGAGAAAGCUAAGUGUGAGCACCCACCUCUCUACUUUUGAUAGUAGAUACAACACAGCUAGCUGCAUGGUACUCCUGCAGCCAUACUUGCUGCAGCAGGAGAGACUGCAUCAUCAAACUGCGAGACAAAGUAACCUUCCUUCCUUUAUCGCCUCAGUCAGAUAUUUUUAUUACAGUGAAAGAAGGAGCACUUUAGUGUAUGAAAAUGAGGUCUUGCCCUUGUCCUUAUAGGAAAAAAAAAGGAGUUUUCAUUUUGAUUGUUGCUUUUGUUUGUUUUUACUUGGGAGGCCUGUCCAUCAUUUGCCAAGUGUCCUCCCUUUUCCUUCCCUACCAGAAUACCAAGGCCAGAUGGGUCACUGCUCAACCCUUUUGCAUGCCUGGCUGAGGAGAUGACUAGUUUUCUCUGCCUGCCUCCUUUCCCAACCAUAAAGCAGAAGUGUGGUUAGCAUGUCCAUACAACUGAGGGACUGGUAUAUUGUUUGCUUAUUGCUUAUUUGCUUAUUGCUGGUGGCCUGCCUUCCUGAUCAGGUGGGAAGGUAUACCAGUUCUGAGGUGGGACAGUGUCCCAAGGGUAUCCUGAGGCACAGGAGCCCAGGAACCACACAGCUCUGAGAGGAGGUGUCCUCAGCAGACACAUUGCAGCUCCCAGGGGAGGAUUGCCCCAACCCCUGAUGAUCCUCAGAACUCAGAGUCUGAGCUCUGAUCCUUCUCCAGCUGAUGGAGCUCCAAGAGGAGGAUUGCCCCAACCCCUGAUCUCCUCUUCUUCUUUUCUUUUUUCUUCUCUUUUUUUUCCCAACGAGUGAGUCACAGCAGGCAGUAAAUCUCUUAAAAGGGAUUUAUUGGAGUGAUGAAUCCAGGAGUGGCUGCUUCUGUUCACAGGAGAAGGCUGCAGGGAACUGGGCAGACACAGCCUUUAUAUAGGAAUUUUUAGGGAGCUGAGCUUUUGGGGGAAAGGAUUUUCAGAGUGUAGAUUGGUGGGAUUUCAAGUCCUGAGGUUGGGGAGCUCAGGGAUUGGUGGUCUUUCCUGUUUAAGGAUUGGUGGGUUUUAGUGGGAGCCUCAGGGAAUGGUCAGUUUUCCUGCUCAAGGGGUUGGUGGGUUUUUGUCCAGACUUUUUACCUCAACUUAGCAUAAUCGAGAUGAGUCCUACUGAGGAACUGGAUAUGACACUUACAGAUGUCUUGGGGAAGGAACAGGGCUGCUAGAGCUUCCUCAGGCAGGGGUCUGGCCACUUUUCUGCCUUAUGGGGUUAUAAAUUUACAAGGAGUCCAUUGUGAAGGCAGUAGGCUGAAGCAGGAAAGAUUGUCAUCAUCAUGGACAGCUCCCGUAGUGGCAGUAGUAGGCUUCUGAGGCAGUAAAGGUGUCCGUUCCAUUGUAGUUGGCUGAGGCAGGAAUAGAUACCAUGGAUAGCUCCCACUGAGGUGCUGACAGGAGCCCCCAUUCUUUCUCCCAUCUCCACAACCCCAAGAUGGUAAGGAGGGGCUGACUUCCCUGAGGCCAGAAGGGGGUCUGGCAGUGAGUCACUUGAAAUUUUAGUGGCCCACUGCUCAAUUCAGCUAGAAAUCGCUCUUGGGGGUUGCAGUGGGCCACCACAGCAGGGGCCAGUGGGCUGCAGGGCUGGGAGCCUAGUGGACCUGGACAGCUUGGGAGAAUCAGGGCCUCUGCCACAGCUCAGGUGUGGAUCACUGUGGAUGCCCCAGGCUGUGGCAGUGGGGGCCGCAGCUCUCUCCACUGUUUCCAGCUGGGUGACUUUGAUCACUGCUGCAGGCUGCUGACUGCCAACGAAGGGUGUUGAGAGCCCUACAGUGCAGAGGUCUAGAGAGGUGGAAUGAGAUGGAAGUUCUCAAGAUGGGCAGGUCAGGCAGGGUUUAUAAACCAAGGUAAGACAGUUUCAGCAAAAUCAUUUGAGAGUUUUAACUCAAGACAAGAUCUGAGUCUACUUUUGUAGAAUUAUGCCAUGAAAGAAUGUAAAGAAGAAAGCAGUUUGGGAGCGGGCUACAGUGUGGUGUUAUACUGACUUGCUACAGAGCCGAGGGCUGCACGGAUAAGUGAUUUCAAAAGCUUUGUGAUUGUUUGGCUGCCUUUGCAAAACUUAGGGAGUUUUCUGCUUUGAGGUGAGCUCACAUGGUACUGAGAGACUGAAAAACUCUCCAGGACUGAAGACCUCCAGAGACUUCUAGAAGAGACUAGAGAGCUUUCAGAAAGCUCUUGGAACUGCAAGUUCUGAAAGGAGCCACUGGAAGUGUGAAGCAGCUGUGAGUAACCGUUUCUCAAGAAUGUCCGUAUGGUGUCAUGGAGUAAGGAGCAGGGCCUGGCGCAGAAUUCAGUGGUAGAUCAAGGCUCUGGGUUUGAAUUUUGGCACCAAAAGAAAGAGGCUAAACAGGAAACCAAGAAAAAAAAUUAUUUCAUUUCUACUGUUAAGAUGUGUCAGGUUUUAGUGUGAGGCCAAAAAUAAAAACAAGAAACCCUUAUUAUUUAAAACAUUUUGCUGUUCACUUUAAAGACUUAGACAUCUUAUAUUGUUACAUAUAUGGUCUUUGAUAAACAUACAAUAUUAGGCUGUAAUUUCCUUAGGAGUAAAUACAUGUUGAUUUCGUACCUUCAGCAUAUGGCAUAGCAUGACAUAAAGUGGGUGCUCAGUAAAUGUAAUGAAUGAAUAAUGUUCUCUAAUUUUAUUUCUGAGAAAUAGUGAUCAAAGCAAUAUGUCUCUUUGCUGCCCCCCAACAUAACAGCAGCUUCCAGUUCUGUUAUCACAUGAACACUUCACAGAAAGAGUAUUUUUUAAGAUUUUAUUCAUUUAUUAUGUACACAGUGUUCUGACUACCUGUACACCUGCUCAUCAGAAGAGGGCACCAGAUCUUACAAUAGAUGGUUGUGUGCCACCAUGUGGGAGGUGAGAAUUGAACUCAGGACCUCUGGAAGAGUGCCUGGUGCUCUUAACUGCUGAGCUGUCUUUCCAGCCCCCCGAAAGAGUAUUUUUUUUAAAGAAAGAAAAACCAACAAAGGCAGGCAGGCAUGGGAGUUUAUGCCUGUAAUCUCAGCACUUUGAAAGGCAGAGGCAGAAGGGUUACCACAAAUCGGGGACUAGCCUAAUCUUCUGUGACCUUGGCUGACAAGAACUUACUCUGUAACUGAGGCUGGCUCACUGUAGUCCUCCUGCCUCAGCUUCCUGAGUAUUAGCAUCAUGGCACAGAAUCAUGCUUAGCUCCUUUUGUCAGGAUUUGCUAUAGACGAGGCUGUCCUCAAAUGUGGAAUCCUCCUGUCUCGGCAACCCCACAUGUGAAAUAGCAGUUGUGUAACAUCACAGCUGGCUAAGCUACCCUGAAACUGCAGCAUUUAACAGAGUUGACCCAGUCACAGAGCUGCCCAGAUGGCAUCACUAGUGUCCAGGCAGGUGCUCUUUCCUCAGUAGAACAUUUGAGGAUUGCUGUGCCUGUCUUCCUCCAAGAGGUCUGAUGAAGGAUCUGAUUACACAACCUUUGGAUGUUCUAAUGCAUUCUUGUUAAGCAAACAGAAACCCUAUUCUGUGGGAAUUGUAGUUCUGUAAAACUAAUGUUUCAAUUGAGUUUUUGCUUGUCAAGGCUACACUUCCCUUUUAAAGCCAAAGUAGUUAACAAGUUCAGGAGAUAGGUGUCAGAAAGACCUGAGGAUGUUUUGAUCCUUAGAGAAUCUUCAAGCUCCUGUAGUCAGAACAACUAUAAAAGAGGACUUAACCAAAAAACAAAGCAUACCAUGGGUCAGAAGUUGGCUACACUGUUACACCCUUUAGGUUUUCUCUUGGCUAGACUGUAAGUGUUAUCAUGUACUACAAGGAUGCUAAAAAUACUUGAAGGAAUGUCUUACAAAGUAACAAAAAGUAAAAGGAAGAAUGUCUGUAGCUUUGAGAGAUGUCAUAACCACAGACUAUAAACCACACUAAUAAACCUCAUAUAUAUGUAUAUCAGGUAUAGGUGAUAUAUAACAUAUGUGUAUGUUCAUUCUGUUAGUUUUCCUUUAGAGAAUCCUGACCAAGGGCAAGGGAGAACUGGAGAGGGAAAAGGUAAGAUUUUAAAUGUCCCUGUUUAUUCCUGUUAGGUAAUUAGGAGAUUUUUAAAUCCAAACUGCUGUCACUCCAACUUUAGUGGCUUAAUUUCUGUCAAGCGUCUGGUUAUUUAUUUGUCAACUUGACACAAGCUAGGGUCACCCUAAGAGGAAACCUCAGUGUAGAAAAUGCCUCCAUCACAUUGGCCUGUAGGCAAAUCUGUUGGACAUUUUCUUGAUUAAUGAUUGAAGUGGGAGGGUGCAAGCAAGCCCACUGUAGGUGGUCCUUGGUUGUGGAAGAAAAAAAAAAAAGAAAGAGAAAAAGAAAAGAAAGAAGCUGGGUGAAACGGAAGGCAAGCCAGUAAACAUCAUUCUCCAGCCCUCUACUGCAGUGCUUGCCUCCAGGUUCCUGCCCUGACUUCUCUCAGUGAGGGACUAUGACUGGAAUGUAUGAUCUAAAUAAACCCUUUUUUCUCCAAGUUGCUUUUGGUCAGUGUUUUGUUAAAGCAAUAGAAAGCAAAUGUUCUAUUUGGGGAAGCAAUGGGGAAAUAAACCUCUCUACAGAGGGAAGAGAUGGUAGAUGGCCUGCUCUGUGCUCAUAGUUAGUGAUGACAGCUAUAUAUGCAUAGUUAUAUAUGUACAGGAGGUUGAAUUGGAAGAUAUAAAAUUGAGAAAGCUGACUUGCUGUAUGUAAUAAAGAGGAGAGAAAGUCACUGUGGAGAAGUCGGGUUGGGGGUCGGCAUUUUGGUGCUGUUGCUAAAGGCAGCAGAAAACAGGCAGGAGAAAUGACAGUUGAAAUGUGAAAGUGACACUUACCAGACUUGAGAGCAGAGUACGCAGAUCUAUAAGACCAUCCUGGAGGUAUACUAACAAGUCUUGCACAGGCAAAGGCUAUGUAAAGAGACCCUCUCUCAAAAUCAGAAAUGACACAGAAGCAGAGGGUUAACAUGUGGAAUGAGCCAGUCCAGCCUGGGCUGGUUGGCCUGUGCUUGUGCUUGUGCUUAGAGAUGCCGUCUCUAAGAUACAACAAUCUAAAAAUAAGAACGGUGAAAGCUGUUACUUAAUCUGUAGUCAUCACUAUUGCUGUAUAUAUGUAUCUCCACACGUGUAUGUGACAUGUAUACCAUUCUUCUACACAGCAAUAGUAGUCACUUAUGAGCUCAAAGCUCCCUGGAAGGGUUACUGCAGAAUCCAGGGAAGAGAGCUGGGUUCAGUAUCUUCAGAAGGUCUGAGGAGCACAGGGCAGAAUAGGUGUCAAUAGGUGUCUCUACACUGAAUUGAAUUACAGGAAACAAGAUCUGCACGGUGAAUCGGAAAGUAUAAACCAUCACAUACUCUGCCAGCCUAGAGAUAAGAAAUACACUCUUUACUCAUAUAAAGGUGACAUCCCUCAGUCAGGGACUUCUCCCCAGGCAACUGAGUCCUCUAGCACUUGAACUUGGGAAAGCCUGAAGCAGUUAUUAAGUAUGAACAGUGUGUUAUAACUUGUAAGUCUGGUUGAAUAUGCCAAAUCCUGGGAGUGAUGGAAUUAUGCAUGUCUGAAGCUCUGUUCUAUUGUAAGCAACACACACACACACACACACACACACACACACACCUGGUUCUGGCCAUGGAAGCCAAAACAGAAGUGUCUGGUUGUGGCUUCCAAUAAUUUUUUUUAAAUACUAGGCUGGUAGAGUCAGGCAAUGAUUCAGUCAGUGAAGUGCCUGUUGCUGAAGCGUGAAGGUCUGAGUAUAGCUGAAUAUUGUUAGAAUAGCCUAGCAUGCAUAGGGGGAGACAUGGCUUGGCUUGAUCUUCAAGUCAUCAGCACUCAUCUCCGACUGUGACAGUCCGUGGGGUUCACAGACAGCAGGUCUUGACCAAGGUAAGCAUUUUUCCAUCUCAUUUACUCUCUACUUUGUUUAGUAUAAUCCUUAGUUUUAGGUGCUCUGAGACAGAGAUGGGCUGCUUGGCUUCAUAUCCUGGUGAAGGGACCUCUCAGUACCUUUUCUUUUUCAGUAGCUUGCUGUGACAUGGGAGACAUAGUCCAUAGGAGCUCCUAGCCUAACAAGAGAGACAGGUUUGUAACAAAUGAUUACAGGGGUAGGUGCAGUCACAGAGUAAGAAUAAAAUGCUUCCACUGCAUGAAGAAGUCAAUGCAGAGGAAUGGUGAGUGACAACAGGGAAGAUGAAGCUAACCAACAGCCAAUACAUACAUCAAAAGACACCUCUAUUUAUGUAUUACUGUCCGUGGGCCUCAGAAUGAAGUUCAGUUCCCAGCACUACAUAAACUGGGCAUAAAGGAGCACCUCUGUAUUCCAAAAUAGCCCUCCCCACAACUUCUCCAAAUUCCAGUGUGACUAUAUUUUAUCUGUGUGUAUUUUUGUUGUUAUUGUUUUUCGAGACAGGAUUUCUCUGUGUAACCAUGGCUGUCCUGGACUCGCUUUAUAAACCAGGUUGGCCUCAAACUUACAGAAAUCCCCCUAAGUGCUGGGAUUACAGGCGUUCAAGACUGGAGUUGGGGGUGGGGUUGUAGAGGGGUGUGCACACACGUGUGGGAGGAUAUGGAGGCCAGAUACUGAUAUCCAGUGUCUUCCUCUAUUCUUAGGGAUACACCUCUCUCAUUGAUCCUGAAACCUGAUUUAGUAUGACUAGCUGGCCAGCAAUCCCAGGGGUUCCCCUGUCUCUACUUCCAUAGGUGUGCACUGUUGUGCCCAACUUUUUAUAUGGGUUCUAGGAUGAAACCGAGUUCCUCAUUAUUGCUCUAAUGCACUUUUUUUUGUCCCAAGCCUUUUUUCCAGCCCAAGGCUAGGUUUUUUACCGAACACUGGCUACUGCAAGAACUGAUCUCUGGUGUUUCUGUCAAAACAUUAUUAAAAUAAUUCUAUGAUUUAGAUGAGAAAUUUUUCCAUAUACUGUAUAACAUCCCUUAUGAGUCAUCUUAACUUUUUUUUUUAAGUUAAAAAGUAACUGUGUUUGUGUGUAUGCAUCUGUGGUAUUCUGUGCUGUGUUGUAUGUGUGGUGUCUGUGUGUGGUAUACGCAGAUAAGUAUUUAAAUACUCAGAAAUAUGCAGGCCAUCCAGUGACUUCCACAAUCCCUUGCUGCCUUAUUUCUUUGACAAAGGGUCUGCUACUGAAUCUUAAACUCUUAUUUUGCUUAGGUUGCAUAGCCAAGAAUCUCUCAGGAUACUAUUUAUACUUCUCAAUGCUGAAGUUUCAGAUAUGGGCAGCUAUGCUCAGGAUUUUUUUUUAAGGGUCUUACCAUAUAACUUUGAUUGGCCUGGAAUUCACAGAGACCUAUCUGCUUCUGUCACCCAAGAACUGGGAUUAAAGGUAUGCACUACCAUGUCCAGUUCUUAAAAUCUUUUAAGUAAGUGUGUGUGUGUGUGUGUGUGUGUGUGUGUGUGUGUGUACAUGAGUUCAAGUUCCCUAAGAAGCCAAGGGUUUCAGAUGCCUUGGAGCUGGAGUUAGAGGCAAUAGUGAGCCAUUAAUCAUGGGUACUGGGAAUUGAAUUCAGGCCCUCUGCAAGAGCAACAAGCACUCUUAACCACCGAACCACCUCUCAGAUCCCCUGCCCAGCUUUUUGUGUGGAUGCCAGAGAAUUAAACUCGGGUGAAUGUGGUGCACACCUUUAAUCUCAGCACGAGGGAGACAGAGACAGAUUGAUCUCUGUGAGUUCCAGGGCAGUCAGGUCCACACAGUGAGUUCCAGGCCAGUCAGGUCCACACAGUGAGUUCCAGGGCAGUCUGAGUUAUACGUUAAGACCCUGUCUCAAAACAGACACACAGUAACAUUGAAUCACACAAUGACAUCUGUCCAUUGAGGCUGUACAGAUGGCUCAGUGGUCAAGCAUACCUGUUGCUCUUUCAAGGGAUCUUGUACCCACACAGUGGCCUACAACUUUAACCCACUGAGCUAUCUUCCCAACCACCAAAAAGAAGUAUUUACUUUAGGAAGUAUAGAAAAUAAAUAAGGCAAUUAGGACUGGCAUGACUGUUAAAGGUGUAAUCAAUGCUUUUUCCUUGCAAUUUGACCUAUUCCACCAGGCCAAGUUUUGUAAAUCUGGUUAAAAGCUCAUAGGUGGUGAUGUCAUAGACCUUUGGGGAGAAUCUUCUGUUAUUGUAUUGGCUAAAUGGUCAUGUUGUUCGAUUUCGAUUGUCUUCUAAAUAUUUAUGUUUAUACUCACAGAUUUGUGUUGCUCUCAACCAUAGUCAGAGAAACUUCUUUUUGAGGUGGAUUCAUAGCUUGUCAAAGUGCUAAGAUUGAGUAACUGAGUGUCCCAAGGCUUGGCUUGGGGAAUGUUGAAAAAAAAAAAAAAAGAAAGAAAGAAAAAGGAUGAAGCAAAAGAAAUGUAGGAAGAUGGGUAGGAGAGGCAUUGCACAUAUGAAUUUACAGCUAUGGUUACCUAUGUAUGAUCACAACAGCCAGAAUUCCAGCAUGAGAAGGGCACUAGUUCCUGAGGCCCACAUCCCUAAUUGCAGAGAUGUUAGCAAUUGAUGGCUGCUGAGGGAGAGUCACUUCUUUGGAUGUGUGACUGCUAGUAAGCUACCAGGUUCGAGUGAAUGGACCCACAGCCAUGUGCAUAUGAAAAAUACGAUAGGACAUGAAGUUGGCAGGGAGCCAUAUUAAGGGUCCCAGGGGAAGUGAGAGGAAGGUACCAAGGGAUAGAUAGGUGCAAAAUGUAUUAUGUAAUAUAUAAAUGACAUUUUCAAAGAAUAAAAAACAAGGCACUCAACAGAAGGAAAAGAGAAGGGAAGGAUCUGAAUUCAAAAGUGAUUGUGUGAUCAGAAAAGAGUCCAUGCGUGGAGAAGGAGGGUGUCACCACUGCAGAUGCAAUCAUACCUUUCCUGGCCAACCCCCCAUAUGUAUAUGUAAUGUGAAGGUGUGUCUCUUACCAGUGUGAGUUUCAGACCGGGAAGAAAUCUACACUAGCCUGAAAGCGAGUGAAUAGGACCUUGGCAUUUCCCUCAAAUAACUAGAACAAUAGCUGGGGAUUUACUUCUGUAAUGAAAAAAGGAGGAUCAGCUGUGUUUCCUUUAAACUAGAAUGCCAUGCACAUAUAUCCAUGUAACAGCUUUAGAAAUGAUUAGCUAUGCAGAUCUUUUUUCUCGCAAUACCAUUUUUUAUUUGUGACUUUGUGUUUGCGUGUGGUGUGCGUGAGAAAAUGUACAAGCGUCCAGGUGCACAUGACACCAUGUGUAAGGGUUAGAGAACAGCCUCAGCUCUCAGUUCUUGUGUCUGGUUUGGUCUGGUUUUUGCAGUUGCACUGUCUGUGCCAUGGCCAGCCCGCUCCUAACGAGUCUCUUCUCCACCUUCAGUCUCUCUGCAGGAACACUGGGAUCACAGUUCAUUACUUGUCUGGUUUUCCCUGGGUUUGGGGGAUUUAAACUCUGGACCUCACUCCCUUAUGGCAAGAAGUUUAUGCAGCAGUCUGGCUUGAUUUACCGUCAUUUAGAGCUGUCAAGUUUUUAACUCUUUUUUCAUAUAUCUCUAAUAUUUUAUUUACAUCUCCCUUUUACACUUUGACUUUAUCCCUACCCCCAUGCUGAUAUAGUCCCAAAUUUUUAUGUAAUUUAUAGAAUCAAAGCAAUAAACUUAAUUUUUCAGUUUAUCUCAAAGGAAGAUACUACAAAAAAAUGACUUUAGGAUUCAUAGUUUCAGUUUUGUUUUCCAGUUUUAAAAGGUUAAUUUAUUUAAUAAGGACCAAAAAAGAAGAAGAAAAUAUGUUCUCGGAUGUCUGAUGAAAGUUAGUAGAUGUUUGAAUUUGUUAAAUUUUGUAUUUUCCGUGCAGCAUGUUCUUGGGGUAAUGCUAUUUAGAAUAUACACUGUAUCUAAGAAUUUCCAUAUGUUCUUCACAGAGGUUCAACAUCCUGCCAGUUCUCCCUGGAGAGUAGGUGUGUGCUCUUUAUCCUGACAAAGAUUGGGCCCUAAGUUGUAAGAAAAGGUUCACUUCUUGCCAAGUAAAAUAACCUUUCCCACAGAUUGAGCAACAUAAUAAAAAGGGAGAGAUCGCAGCAUAGAUGAGGACACUAGGAAGACAGACUGGUUUCAGCAGCUAGGAGGGCCAGAGUGUCAAUAAUGUUGCUACUUAGAUCUUCCUUAUAGUCUGUGAUACUGCUCUUAACUAUCAAUAUGAGCAAAAGGAAAUAAUCUAUACCGUUUUAAUAUCCAAAAGAGAAAGUUUACAUGGGCAGUGAUAAAGUAUUGAAACAAGUAUUUUAUAGUGAAACAAGCCAUUGUUUCCAGUUGUCAGUUGAUUUGACAUAAAAUUUCAUUUCUAUAGGCAUGAGCUAAAAGCAUCCAAGUUGAAGUGUUACCUUCACAUGUUUCCUCCUGUUUUUAGUAAUUUAGUAAUUUUUCAUUUUGUCUUACUUGGACAUUAUUAAGUCAUUCUUCUCGUUAAAAUAUCAUUGGGGCUGGGAUGUAUCUUAGUUGGUGAGUACUUGCCUAAUACACAUAAGACCUUGGGAUUUAUAUCUGCAUAAACCAGGAGUGGUGGUGAGCAUCUAGAAGCCUAGCGCUCAGGAGGUAGGUACAGGAGGGUCAGAGUUCAAGGUUAUCCUCUGCACAUAGGGAGUUUAAGACCAUCCUGGAAUAGAUGAGUCCUCUCCUGUCCUUUCCUUUCUUUUUCCCUUUCCUUCCCUUUCCUUUCCUUUUUUUCUUUCCUUUUUCCUUUCGUUUUUUUUUUUUUUUUCCUUUCCUUUCCUUUCCUUUUUUUUUAACGUUUUUUGGAGACAGGGUUCCUCUGUGUAGCCUGUCCUGGACUCCCUUUGUAGACCAGUCUGGCCUCAAACUCACAAUAAUCUGCCUGCUUCUGCCUUCCUGAAUGCUGGGAUUAAAGGCACUUUCCGGCUCUAUGAAUCUUAAAAAUCACACCAAUAAUGUACACAAGGCUCUGAGGCCCUGGGUUCAACACACAUGUACACACACUCAUAACUGACAUUGUGAAAGGGAAUGAUCAAUAAUUUACAGAUGGCAAAUUAUCUUCCAAAAACACAUGUUUUGCUGUGAAUAAAUUUCAUUUCUUAUCCAGCCAACUAUUCUUUGAUAACCUUACUAUUAACUCCAGUAAUCUAGAAGGUAGAAUUAUGAUAUGAGGAAGAGAGGUCAAAUGAACUGAAGGUGUGGCUGAAUGAAGAAAUUAAACAUUAUUUAAAUAAUAAACACUGUCCUAAGACUGUAAUGAGGUGGGUGGGUCAGAAGAGGAUCCAAGCUGAGGUUCACAAAUGGCCUCUUGCUGUUCUCUGGACUGGAUCUGAUAAGGAGUCUGGACGUGUUCCUGUCAGUGUGAGGAAAAGUGUUUAGACUGGUCAGUGCCACUGUCCUCUAGAGUUUUGGUGUUCAAUUGUCAGCUAUCGAUCAUCAGGCAUUUGAAUAAAAUAAAAUGAGCAUAUUCACUGAAUUACAUUACUUCAUUCCAGAAUGUUAAAUACAUUAAAAUAACAAAAGUGUUACAUUUUAUUGAACUUUUCUUAUACAAAGUCAGGCAUAGAGUUUCAAAUAAAACACUUAAAAAAGAUAGGUUUUCUCCAGGCUUUAUGAGUUUCUUGGCUGCCUGGCAUACAGACCGAUUUCAGCCUAGUCAAAUGUUUGAUGAGCUGAGUGAGCCUGAUAGUUCAAGUCUAUAAUUCCAGUUACUUGGGAGGCUAAAUCAAGAAAAUAAAAAUUAGAACUAAGGCCAGUAAGAUGGCUGGCAGGCAAAAACCCAGCAGUAAGGAGAAUGGGAGAAGCCCAUGCAUGGGGAAGGGAAUUGCUGAGCAAGUCCUAGAGUAGAAAAGAGCAAACAUUGAAAAUAACUAGAUGAGAGCAUUGGACACAUAAGAGGCUACAGAGGGGGUAGGGAAAAUGGGGUGGUCCUAGCAUAGCUGAGAGCCAACCCAGAUAACCUGCGUUCAAUUGGGACCACAUGGUGGAAAGAGAGACCACCUCCCACAAGUGUAUAUUCGCUCUCUCCUGGCCUUCCUCUCUCUCUCUAUCACAAAGUAAUAAAAAUAGGACUAAACCAAAACACGUCGAAUUACUGCAGUUAGCAGAAUUCUAUGAAGUCUUAACGUCAGGUACCAUCAAGACUCCAAGAGGGGAUUCAGAUAAGAGCACUAUGGAGAGUUGGUCAGUAACAGCUGGGAAACUACAGCUGUGCUUACCUCAUGGUCCAGGAGUUCUAAUAAAAACUGAGCAAGGGAAGAAUGCAGACAUGUCCACUGCACCAUAUAAAAGCAAAAGUUUGAAGUUUUAUGGUGUAAGAGCGGUUAAAUGUAAGAGUGGGCAUGUAUGAAAUAUUCAUUCAUGGACUGUUGAACAUCUGUUGCAUGCCAGUGCUGUUUUGGGUAUUGAGGCAGGGUCUGUGUAUCCCUGGUUGUCCUGGGUAAAAAAAAAAAAAAAAAAAAAAAAAAAAAUUUAAAUAAAAAAAAAUAUGAUUUCUAACCUGUGGAUCACAACCUCUUUGGGGUGGUAGAACGGCCUUUUCGCUAGGGAAGAAUAUCAGAUAUCCUGCACAUCAGAUAUUUACAUUACAGUUCAUAACAGUAACAAAAUUACAGCUGUGAAGUAGAAACAAAAAAAAAUUAUGAUUGGGGUAUCCAUAAUAUGAGAAACUGUAUUAAAGGGAUGUGGUGUAAGGAAGGUUGAGAACCACUGGUCUAAGACAUGACAUGUGGCAUGAAUGAAACCCAGCAAUAAAGGAGAAUGGGAGAAGGCCAUGCGUGGGGAAAGGGACAGCUGAGCAAGUGGAAGAGAGCAAAUUUGACAGUACCUGGAGGAGAGCAUUGGGGGUGAAGGAGGCUACGGAGCGGGGACAAAGGGAUGGGGUGGUCCUAGCACAGCUGAGAACCACAUGAAAAGAUGUCUGGAGCUGGGUUGGCCUGUGCCCACUUUGAAGACCACUGCCUGAAUCCUUAGAGUAUACAUGACCUGAGCAUCAAUACAGCAGGGACCAGGCACCAUUGUAAGCUAACUGCCUCUCUUUCAUCAUGCCUUCCCCCAGCUCCUCUUUGGUAACCCAGGAUGGCUUUGAAACUAUGCUGGGGUUACAGGUGAGCUACUUCACCCUGCUUCAUUAUAAACUUUCUACAUAUAUUCAGUCAUUUAAUGUCCUCAGUUGUCUCACAGAGCCAUUAAUAUCUUGACUCAUUUCAUAGAUAAGGAAACCAAGUUAGGGACAGGAUACCUUAUUCUAGAUCAGCUAGUUGUGUGUUGAUUCAAACAGACAGUCCAGCUCCUGUUAGUGACUGGCUUGCCGACUCUUUCUUGCAUUUGUUCUCUCAGAGACAGUUCCCUACUGUCUGUCAUCUUCCCAACAUUGCACAGGUGCUGUGGGUCACUUACUGGCUUAGGCUAUUGUUAUCACCUAGAAUUUGGAAUGUGGGAAGAGUUGAGAUGGGAGGUGUCCCCGUUCCCAGCCUCCUCCGCUUCCCCUCCCCCACAGUGGUUUAGCAGGUACAGGUUGUGCAAGUCUAUGUAAAUACCUCUGGUGAAGAGGUGGAACCAUUUCACAAGUGUAUAUGCAAGUUUUACUUUAUCUUGUCUUUCAAAAGAGAAGGCAAACAAGGAGGUAGAUCUUGACAAGAUGCCCCCUACAGCACUCCUCCCAUCAAGAGGAAAACUCUUCUGGGACCAGCAAAGUGACACAGUGGAUAAAGGUCCCAGAACAUAAGUGGUUUGAAGAGAGAAUUGGUUCUCACAUGCAUACUGUGGCAAGUGCACUCCCCUCAUACACAAAGUAAAUAAUGAAUGAAUGAAUGAGUGAGUGAGUGAGUGAAUGAAUGAAUGAAUGAAUGUGAAAUUAAUUAAUAAAAAUGCCUCUUCUAUAAACCUCUGAGUUCCUUCAGAAUCUCCUAAUAGUCUGGGAUAGAGCCUCAAACAUAUGGUCUUUUAAUCCAAUAGUUUUUUGUUGUUUUUUUUUUUCUGGUGACAGUGGGAGUCUCCUCCCCUUUAUAUGUUAUUACAUUUCUAUCACAAAUUGUGUGUAUGUAUGAAUGGAUGGAUGGAUGUUGCCUGUUUGGUUGGUUUGGCUCUUUGUUGUUUUUUUGAGGCAGGAUCUCCAGUAUCCCAGGCCUGUCUAAAACUUGUUAUGUGGCCAAGGAUGACCUUGAACUUUUGAUACUUCUACCACUAUCUCCUACAUGCUGGCAUUAGACACAAGCCAAAUGCUUCAUUCAUGCGGAAUUGAGGAUUGAGCCCUGGACUUCAUGCAUGCUAAGUCAGUGGUCCACCAGUAGAGCUACAAUUGAACUUUCCUGACCACACCCAUUCUCUAUGUAUGUUUCUAAAAGAAGCCAAUAUUAAAUGGCCAUUUUUUAUUUCUUGAAUCAAAGAACAAAGUUCUGGCCACUUCAGAGUGAAGUUGAGCAGCAGAAGCAGCAGUUUCAAAAGUUCUAGGAGGUGACUGGUUAGAACGAGGAGCAGAGCGUGUUUCUGGGGUGUGCUAUUGCACAUAAAGGAGGCCUUUGUCUCAUUUCACCUGAGAUGCUUUCACUCUCCAGAGGUAAAGCUGGUGCUAUAGCUCAAGAGGAUAAGGACAGUUGUUUGUUUUGUCUUAUUGGCUUGUUUUUAGGUCAGAUAUCACAGAUACUAAAUAAGUAAAUAAAUGUUUAAAAUUAAUGUUUGAUCAAUCAACUAAUUAAUUAAUUAAAAGAGAUCUGUGUUCUUUGCCUCCAGAGUGCAAAGGAGGUCAAAGGAAUGCACUGCCACACCUGGCUGUGAGUAUUUUUUUUUUAAACUAUUAGAACACAUUUUCAAAACUGUAACAUAUCAACAUUCUGGAGGAAAGGCAUUAAAAUACUUCAGUGGACACCCAGCAUGGUGUCACACAUACGUCUGACAUCCCAGCCAUGGAGCCUGAAGCAGGAUUGACCAAAGUUUGAGGCCAGCCUGAGAAAACCAUGCGGCUUUCUAUGCCCGAUCCAGCUCUGAAUAAUGGCAUGGAGACCUAUUUAUUAAAAGCUCAGAGCAUUAUAUCUGGGCAGGUACUCAGCUGUUCUGGCCUGACAACACUGGCCUGGCCUACAUUCCUUCACGUGGCCCAUUUCCUGCCAUCUCAGUCUCAUUCUGGCACCUACUUCUUCAUCUGUGUUCCCACCUGAGAUCCUCCUUGUCUCUGGGCCUGGAAGUCCCGCCUUUACCUCUCCUGCCCAGCUAUAUUGGCUGUUCUGCUCUUGAUUUCACCAAUCAGAAGGUGAUGGAGAACCAUUUUUACAAAAUACUAAUGCAGGAGAUUCUUCAUAAUAAUGUCAAUAUCAAAAUCUGGCCUGUAUUCAACCCUGUAGUUACAGAAAUUGUUAGGGUCCAAGAAUCACUGAAUAAAGACCCCAGACUCAAGUAGUAUGAAAAAGGAAAGAGCAUUUAUUCUGCAGAAAUUUACCAUCAUGCCAGGGCCACCAUUCCUUAGAAUGAGGCCCCGAAGUGAGCACGCAGGUUCAGCUUAAAGGAAAUUAGGGUGAUUUCCAGAAGGAGUGAGGUAACCUUUCAUUUUAUUGGUUGACUCAGGAGAUAUGGGGGAUUUAGGAUUGGCUAAAUAUUUAGGAACUUUCCAGAGUUGCUAAGGGUCUUUCUUCAGGUUUGCUAAAUCAUUAUAUUUAGCUCAAGCCCAUGUGUUAACUUUUAAACUGAUUGGCUGCCUGCGAGCUGCAGGUUUCAGUCAGAUUAGCCAAACAAAUGUAAAGGGACAAUUUGUCUUCUUGGUCUUUAUUUUUUUAUUUUCAAAACUCUGUGUGGUUUUGUGUAUGUAUGUAUGUAUGUUUGUAUAUGCACAUACACAUGUGUGCAUGUGAAGACCAGAAGAAGGAGCUAAAGUUACAGAUGUUUGCUAGGGUGCUGGAAUCUGAACUUUUGUCUUCUUGAUUGCUCAGCGUAGUUGCCUUAAUCACUGAGACAUCUCUUGUCACCCUUUAUCUUCUAGGAGGUGUAAUAUGCAAUGUAAAGGCACUGUCAUAUAGUCUGUUUGGCUGCCAUAACAAAAUCACCACAGACCUCUAAACAAUAGAAGUUUAUUUCUCAUGGCUCUUGAGGCUAGGAAGUCCAAGAUCAGGGCCCUGGGAGAUUCAUGUUUCAUGAGGUAAGAGCACCUCUUUCCUUCCCUCCAGAUUUAUGACAGUCAUCACCAUGAUGUUUCUUCAUAUAGACGAAACUAGGGGGGUUCUUCUCUUUUCUUUUUCCUUUCCUUUCCUUUUCUUUUUUCUUUUCUGUUCUUUUCUCUUUUCUCCUCUCCUCUCCUCUCCUCCCCCUUGCCCUCCCCUCCCCUCCUCUCCUCUUUUUCUUUUCUCUUCUCUAUUCAUAGCCAAUCUUUGGGCAGAGUGCAGGGAAUCUUAUGAAAGAAGAGGGAGAUAGAAAGACCUGGAGGAGAUAGGAGCUCCACAAGGAGAGCAAAACAACCAAAAAAUCUGACCCAGGGGUCUUUGCAAAAAUCAAUGCUCCAACCAAGGACCUUGCUGGAGAUAACAUAGACCCCUUACUCAGAUGUAGCCCAUGGCAGCUAUGUCUCCAAGUGGGUUCCCUAGUAAGGGGAGCAGGGCCUGCCUCUGACAUGAAUUCAGUGGCUGGCGCUUUGAGGUACUGCUGUACUAGGCCACGGAGGAAGACAAUUCAGUCAGUCCUGGUGAGACCUGAUAGGCUAGGGUCAGAUGGAAGGGGAGGAGGACCUCUCCUAUCAGUGGGCUGAGGGAGGGAUUGGGAAGGGACAACUGAGGGGGCUACAGCUCGGAUGCAAAGUAAAUAAGUUGUAAUAAUAAAAAGAAAAAUAACAAACAAGACAAAAACAACUGUGGGCAGGGAAAUGUAAGGGGAUGCUACUGGUUAAUUGAAGUAUGCCCAGUAUAACUACAAGGUUCCUUAAAAGAAGAGACAAGGCUGGGCAUGAUGGCAAAUGCCUUUAAUCCCAACAUUGGAGAGACAGAGGCAGUCAGAUCUCUGGAAGGUCAAGGCCAACCUGAUCAACACAGUGAGUUCCAGGACAGUCAGAGCUACAAAAUGGCGGGGGGGGGUCACAACAGAGCACGAGCCAAAAAGAUGUGAACAUACAGUGAAGGAAAAAACUCAGCUUGAUAUGGCUGUCUGGCCUCUCCCUAGUCUGGAGCAUGUUGGUGGCUUUUCAACCUUCAAAAAUGGAAGGAAAACCAUACUUUGCCUCAAACUUUGAGAAGAUAUGAAUGCCUGCUGACACCUUGACUUUAUUUAGCCUGUUGUGUUUCAUUUUAGACCAUUGUUUCCCCAAACUAUAAUACAUUGGUAUUGUGUAAACCACCAAAUCUUUGAUCAUUGUUAGAGCUGCAAUAGAAAACUAAUAUACUAUGAUUGUUUAGUUAUCUUCAAGGUAUUUUGACUCUUGUCUCAUCAAAAUGUAAAACAAACACAAUAAAUUGAUUACCAACCUUAAUUUGAUCUGCAAACUUAAUUCCAUUUACCAUGUAACCUAAUGUAUUAACAGAUUUUGAAGAACAAGAAAUGGAGUGCAUUCUAUAUUCAUAUAUAGAAAGAUUUUUAAUUUUUAGAAGAUGGGUACUGAGCAUCUAAUAAACCUUUAUAAGCAAUGUUAUAACAAUGUGAUGAGCACAGAAAAUGUGUCUUAUUCCAAGAACUCAAGGAGAGGGAAGAGUUAAUUCAGUAAAGAAGAGGUUGUGUAUGGACAUGUGUACUAACUGUCUUAUCUGCCCACCCCACCUCUUUCCAGAAAGGCACUCAAUCUUAGCCUUAGUAGUUCUAAGAGUGGCCCAAUGUCUACAGCUCAUCCUGUAAUCUAUUUGAUACACACUGGUGCCCUGGGUUUUAGGCUGCUGCUGCUGCUGCUGCUGCUGAUGAUGAUGAUGAUGAUGAUGAUGAUGAUGAUUAAUAAAGUUUCAUAGUGGCUCUGAUAUUUCAAACCAAGAGAUAACAUUGAUCGCAUGUGUAUCCAGAGCCAGGUAUGUAUGUGAAUGCUUUACACAUACUUUUCUAGCACACAGCCCUACAAUAGAUCACAAAAUUGUCCCAAGCCAGAAGGGCCUGGGGCAUAGAUAAAUGAGGCUACAGCUGUGAUGAACUUAUAAGCAAAGGAAUGGAGGCCCAGCUCAUGUCUCUUUAGUCUAGACAAUCUCCAAAAUACCAGCCUUUGAGUUUAUCAUGUCCAAUCCCAGGGUUUGUCAUAAACUCAUUCACACUGCAGGCCUGUAGUGUCUAGGGGAAAGAGGUUAGCUCUUUAUCCAUUCUUCCUUCCUCUUCGCAGUCAGAUGUGUUUCCUGAUCAGAUUUUAGAAAAUGUUUCUAACUUGAGAGUCAAAGGCGGGAAGAUCGUUGCAAGCUCCAGGCCAGCAAGGGCUGUGUAGCAAGACCUUGUCUCAAAAAAAGCAGACACUCCCCACAAAAGCACUACUUUAAGAAUAUUUGGAUUAGAAAUUGAAAUCAGCAUUUGCAUUCUCAAAGAAUAUGGGCUUUUUUUGGUGCCUGCACGUGUUUAUGUUCAGUGUUGGGGACUGAGCCAAGAACUUGCAACAUGCUAGGGAGGCACUCGGCCCUAAGCCAUCUCCCUGGCCUUUUGUGUCUUUAAACAUUAGAUUCUUGUCUAUAUAAAACACUAAAGAACAAAGAGUGAGUAUGUCUUGUUGGUAGCUUUUUGCAUGACUUUUUAAUACUUUGACUUUAUUUUCUAAGUUCUUUUAAUAAGGUAAUAACUUAUUAUUUUUAAAAUGCCUGCUUUUCCAUGUUAAAUCACAAAGUGGCUUAGGGUCCAUACAUUUUGUUUGUGCUUUUUGCCUUGCUAUAUUUAAAAUAUAUUCGCAAGCUUUUGAUAAUUCUCCACUGACAGCACCCUAUCAUGUAGUAUGUUUUACUUUGCUAGUAUCUAAUCAUCUUUUCUCUCCCAUUUCAGUUGCUGUAAAUGGGAUAAUAACCAUCCUGUAGUUAAAGCUCUAUGUGCUUUUCAUUACUCCCUUAAGGUACAUUUCUAGACACGGCAGUCUGCCAAUGACUGGAAGGGUUUCAGAGGACACUUCUCAUGGCAUUUUGUACAUGUGCCAGAUUUCUCUCACAGAAACUACUCUUUUUACCCCCUCCAGUGGCAAUUUUGAGACGUUAGAUUUUUCUUUCCUUGAACAAUAUUGGAUAUUUACUUUGUAAUACCUGUGGAUUUAAACAUUUCCUUGUUACUUAUUUAUAAGCCUUCUUUCAUUAAUUGACUGCUUUGGGAUUUUUGUCCAUUUGUUGUUUUCCUUGUAAAAUGGAAAAAAAUCUAUAUAUUAAAUAUAUGAACAUGUUGCCUUAUUGUUUUCAGUAAUUUUCUCCUUGAAUUUUGGUUAUUGUUGGGUUUUAUUGCUUGCUUGCUUAUUUACAUGACCUUAAAUCACAUGGGUGAACUGUAUUUCUUGGUGUAUGAUAACUACCUUUUCAUGUAUCAUCUAUAUUUUUUUUGCAUUAUCCCUGGAUUCCAUACAUCUUAUUAUACAUUCUUGAAUAUGUGUAUGUGUGUGUAUGUGUGUGUAUAUAUAUAUAUAUAGAUCGAUAUAUAAAUACCAAUAUAUAUAUGUAUAUAUGUGUGCAAAUGUUUUGAAUGCGCAUUAAUUAUAGUGUGUUAAAAAUCUCACUGCAGCAGGCUGGAAAGAUGGCUCAGAGGUUAAGAGCAGUGGCUGCCCUUCCAGACGUCCUGAGUUCAAUCCCCAGCAACCACAUGGUGCCUUGCAACCAUGUAUAAUGAGAUCUGGUGCCCUCUUCUUGAGUGCAGGCCCACAUGCAAACAGAACACUGUGUACAAAAUAAAUAAAUAAAUCUUUAAAAAC